Molecule: ribosomal RNA, 486 nt
Filed under: uncultured bacterium
Lineage: Bacteria
Description: partial 16S ribosomal RNA
Rfam family: Bacterial small subunit ribosomal RNA
Source: RNAcentral
AUUGAACGCUGGCGGCAUGCCUUACACAUGCAAGUCGAACGGCAGCACGGGUGCUUGCACCUGGUGGCGAGUGGCGAACGGGUGAGUAAUACAUCGGAACAUGUCCUGUAGUGGGGGAUAGCCCGGCGAAAGCCGGAUUAAUACCGCAUACGAUCCACGGAUGAAAGCGGGGGACCUUCGUGCCUCGCGCUAUAGGGUUGGCCGAUGGCUGAUUAGCUAGUUGGUGGGGUAAAGGCCUACCAAGGCGACGAUCAGUAGCUGGUCUGAGAGGACGACCAGCCACACUGGGACUGAGACACGGCCCAGACUCCUACGGGAGGCAGCAGUGGGGAAUGUUGGACAAUGGGCGAAAGCCUGAUCCAGCAAUGCCGCGUGUGUGAAGAAGGCCUUCGGGUUGUAAAGCACUUUUGUCCGGAAAGAAAUCCUUGACUCUAAUACAGUCGGGGGAUGACGGUACCGGAAGAAUAAGCACCGGCUAACUACGUG